Molecule: ribosomal RNA, 178 nt
Filed under: uncultured bacterium
Lineage: Bacteria
Description: partial 16S ribosomal RNA
Rfam family: Bacterial small subunit ribosomal RNA
Source: RNAcentral
UACUCCUACGGGAGGCAGCAGUGGGGAAUAUUGCACAAUGGGCGCAAGCCUGAUGCAGCGACGCCGCGUGAGGGAUGAAGGCCUUCGGGUUGUAAACCUCUUUCAGUAGGGACGAAGCGAAAGUGACGGUACCUACAGAAGAAGGACCGGCCAACUACGUGCCAGCAGCCGCGGUAAU